Molecule: ribosomal RNA, 450 nt
Filed under: uncultured bacterium
Lineage: Bacteria
Description: partial 16S ribosomal RNA
Rfam family: Bacterial small subunit ribosomal RNA
Source: RNAcentral
GUGGGGAAUAUUGGACAAUGGGCGAAAGCCUGAUCCAGCCAUGCCGCGUGUGUGAAGAAGGUCUUCGGAUUGUAAAGCACUUUAAGUUGGGAGGAAGGGCAGUAAGUUAAUACCUUGCUGUUUUGACGUUACCGACAGAAUAAGCACCGGCUAACUUCGUGCCAGCAGCCGCGGUAAUACGAAGGGUGCAAGCGUUAAUCGGAAUUACUGGGCGUAAAGCGCGCGUAGGUGGUUCAGUAAGUUGGAAGUGAAAUCCCCGGGCUCAACCUGGGAACGGCUUUCAAAACUGCUGAGCUAGAGUACGGUAGAGGGUGGUGGAAUUUCCUGUGUAGCGGUGAAAUGCGUAGAUAUAGGAAGGAACACCAGUGGCGAAGGCGACCACCUGGACUGAUACUGACACUGAGGUGCGAAAGCGUGGGGAGCAAACAGGAUUAGAAACCCCUGUAGUCC